RNAcentral lists this ribosomal RNA (252 nucleotides) under uncultured bacterium. RNAcentral describes it as "partial 16S ribosomal RNA". It matches the Rfam family "Bacterial small subunit ribosomal RNA", at positions 524 to 776 of the family's 1533-position model. The record is from RNAcentral.
UACGGGGGGGGCAAGCGUUGUUCGGAAUCAUUGGGCGUAAAGGGCGCGUAGGCGGCCGUCCAAGUCGGGUGUGAAAUCCCUCGGCUCAACCGAGGAACUGCACUCGAUACUGGUCGGCUAGAGUCCGGGAGGGGAUGCGGAAUUCCAGGUGUAGCGGUGAAAUGCGUAGAUAUCUGGAGGAACACCGGUGGCGAAGGCGGCUACCUGGACAAUUGCUGACGCUCAGGCACGAAAGCGUGGGGAGCAAAAGGG